AGUCUGUGUUGGUAGGUGCUUGAUGUUUGUGGUGGGCAGCCAAAAGUAGACGGCAGCAGAGGAAGGGGAAUGAGGAAGCAGCCCUGAAAGGGAGCAAGAGUGGCUUGGUGGCCAAAGACUUGCAAAGCAAAGCUAUGCAUAACUAUCGCAGAACUCCAUUGCCCUAGAGAUCCAAGGAAAAUCAGAAUUUGAAUACUAGUGCCAGCUCUACUGGGCUCUUUCCCUGCAGGACAGCCAGCUCCUCAAUACUGCCUGCUCAUCCUCAGGAGUACAGGCACAUUUGCAAACUGGAGAAGCUGUAAUGGGCACCACACAUGCUACAAGCUGUUCUAUUGGCUACAACAAAAGGCCUCUUUCAAGUCUCGCUUCAGUGGGAGAAGGAAACCUGCAGCCGCCAUAGACUCAUGUGCUUGUUGGUACUUCAAGAAACUUAUACAAACAUCUUUUGCCUAUAAUAGUGAAAUCCCCUCCAUGUCAAUUGGAAGCAGAUGCUGGGAGU
Podarcis muralis (Common wall lizard) is the source of this 499-nucleotide long non-coding RNA. RefSeq lists it as uncharacterized. NCBI's taxonomy places the organism in Eukaryota, Metazoa, Chordata, Lepidosauria, Squamata, Lacertidae. The record is from RefSeq and is a predicted model, not a curated record.